GCAGGGUGAGUCGACCCCUAAGGCGAGGCCGAAAGGCGUAGUCGAUGGGAAACGGGUUAAUAUUCCCGUACUUGGUGUUACUGCGAAGGGGGGACGGAGAAGGCUAUGUUGGCCGGGCGACGGUUGUCCCGGUUUAAGCGUGUAGGUGUGUGUUCCAGGUAAAUCCGGUUCACUUUAACACUGAGGCGUGAUGACGAGGCACUACGGUGCUGAAGCAACAAAUGCCCUGCUUCCAGGAAAAGCCUCUAAGCAUCAGGUAACAUCAAAUCGUACCCCAAACCGACACAGGUGGUCAGGUAGAGAAUACCAAGGCGCUUGAGAGAACUCGGGUGAAGGAACUAGGCAAAAUGGUGCCGUAACUUCGGGAGAAGGCACGCUGACACGUAGGUGAAGUGAUUUACUCACGGAGCUGAAGUCAGUCGAAGAUACCAGCUGGCUGCAACUGUUUAUUAAAAACACAGCACUGUGCAAACACGAAAGUGGACGUAUACGGUGUGACGCCUGCCCGGUGCCGGAAGGUUAAUUGAUGGGGUCAGCGCAAGCGAAGCUCCUGAUCGAAGCCCCGGUAAACGGCGGCCGUAACUAUAACGGUCCUAAGGUAGCGAAAUUCCUUGUCGGGUAAGUUCCGACCUGCACGAAUGGCGUAAUGAUGGCCAGGCUGUCUCCACCCGAGACUCAGUGAAAUUGAACUCGCUGUGAAGAUGCAGUGUACCCGCGGCAAGACGGAAAGACCCCGUGAACCUUUACUAUAGCUUGACACUGAACAUUGAGCCUUGAUGUGUAGGAUAGGUGGGAGGCUUUGAAGUGUGGACGCCAGUCUGCAUGGAGCCGACCUUGAAAUACCACCCUUUAAUGUUUGAUGUUCUAACGUGGACCCGUAAUCCGGGUUGCGGACAGUGUCUGGUGGGUAGUUUGACUGGGGCGGUCUCCUCCUAAAGAGUAACGGAGGAGCACGAAGGUUGGCUAAUCCUGGUCGGACAUCAGGAGGUUAGUGCAAUGGCAUAAGCCAGCUUGACUGCGAGCGUGACGGCGCGAGCAGGUGCGAAAGCAGGUCAUAGUGAUCCGGUGGUUCUGAAUGGAAGGGCCAUCGCUCAACGGAUAAAAGGUACUCCGGGGAUAACAGGCUGAUACCGCCCAAGAGUUCAUAUCGACGGCGGUGUUUGGCACCUCGAUGUCGGCUCAUCACAUCCUGGGGCUGAAGUAGGUCCCAAGGGUAUGGCUGUUCGCCAUUUAAAGUGGUACGCGAGCUGGGUUUAGAACGUCGUGAGACAGUUCGGUCCCUAUCUGCCGUGGGCGCUGGAGAACUGAGGGGGGCUGCUCCUAGUACGAGAGGACCGGAGUGGACGCAUCACUGGUGUUCGGGUUGUCAUGCCAAUGGCACUGCCCGGUAGCUAAAUGCGGAAGAGAUAAGUGCUGAAAGCAUCUAAGCACGAAACUUGCCCCGA
Molecule: ribosomal RNA, 1445 nt
Filed under: Salmonella enterica
Lineage: Bacteria; Pseudomonadati; Pseudomonadota; Gammaproteobacteria; Enterobacterales; Enterobacteriaceae
Description: partial 23S ribosomal RNA
Rfam family: Bacterial large subunit ribosomal RNA
Source: RNAcentral